RNAcentral lists this long non-coding RNA (2855 nucleotides) under Homo sapiens (human). RNAcentral describes it as "non-protein coding LINC01410:12". Lineage: Eukaryota; Metazoa; Chordata; Mammalia; Primates; Hominidae. The record is from RNAcentral.
GUGGAGCGACAGCGACAGAGCCUUGGAGAGGGAGGCUCUGCUCAGGAUUUGUCCCCAGUGCCUUAUUUAGUUCACUUGGUGAGGUCAUGUUUUCCUGGAUGGUGUUGAUGCUAGUAGAUGUUCUUCAGUGUCUGGACAUUAAAAUCUUGGGCAUGCAGCACCAUAUGAGAAGUUUAAAAAAUAAAAUUUAAAGAGAGAAAAGUGGUGGGAUUGCUGAAUCAGACAGAGCCAAUAGAUGAUCAGUAAUGGUGGCCAAUCAUCAGCUAGAAAGAAAGUGCUUAGCAGGGCUUGAAAACACCAAAACUCUGAGACCACUGACCUUCAAAAACUUCAACAGCCCUGAGUGAAAAGUCCAAACACAUUUAUCUACCAUUCGAAGACGCUUUAUUGUCUGUCCUCUGCACAUCUCAGUAGUCUCUUUUUACCACACUGUCUAUAUACUGCAUGAGCCAUUUAUAUGAAACUAUCUGACACUCCAAGGCAUCUUGUACUAUAUAUUCAACUAUGUAUCCCUAGUACCUAGCACAGUCCUGGCAUAUAGUUUGCUACUAAACUUUUACAGAAUGAAGGAAUUAUCUUGUAUCCAGGUUCCAAGUUUUAAGGUGAUUCUUCAGUAAAAAAAAGUAUUACAGUUCACAAAUAAUCUACUUCCCUUUUUACAAAUGGGAUCAAUUUUAAUCUUAUCUCCUAAUAACAUUACUUUCAUUUACUCUGAUCUAAAUAUACUGUCCUAAGAGAGCAAUAAGAAAGAGAGUUGAAGCUGGAGUUUGAAGAAUUGUACAUGGUCCUGUGAUACCCUACCUUGUUUUAACCUGAGUGACUCUCUCCUAGCGGAGAGAGAGCCGGACAGACUCCAUUUUAGUUUCUUCACGUGCAGCCCCCUUUACCUUCCACCCUUAAUUGCAUAACUAGUGUAAACUGACUCAAAGCAGGUCCAGGAAUGCACUUAGUGAUAAGAUAUUGAGGCAAGCUGCACCAGCUGCUCCUGGGUACGCACUCGGUGAAUGUCACGCAAAACCCCUGCAUUUCUCUCUUUGUGAUAGUUUAAGCCCCUGCACCUGGAACUGUUUAUUUGUUUUGUAACUGCUAUUGUAACCAAUUAAUAUUUUAACUAUUUGCCAGCUCUGCUUCUGUAAAACUUGUUUCAGCUAAACUCCCCCCUCCCCUAUUUAGACCACGGUAUAAAAACAAAACCAGCCCCUUCCUCGGGGCCAAGAGAAUUUUGAGCAUUACAUGCCUCUCGGUUACCGGCUAAUAAAGGACUCCUUAAUUUGUCUCAAAGUGUGGCAUUCCUCUAUAACUCGCUUGGUUACAACAGUCCACACUGUGGCCUGAGGUGCAUUGCCCACCUGAGCUUCAUCUGUUAUGUAUGUCAGGGAAUAUAAGCAGGGUGAGAGUGGCCUCAUCAGAGGACCCCAGAUCUCUGGCUUACCCAUCUGGCAAGUGCACCUCUGUGAGCAAAGACUUCAGAGCCAGGUGACAAGAAUGGCCCAAGCAGUCCACCAGGAAAACCUGGGCCCAGUGUACGUCAAUGCAGAGCAUCAAGCAUGGUGUAACAGGUGCACAGUUGCCUACUCCUGUUCAGAGAUGACUGCAUCCCACAUACCGUAAAAUGAGGAAAUGCAUAGAAGCAGAUGUAACUGAAGAAGACAGCAGAAGCAACAAGGAGGGACAACCAGGACCUAGGAGGGCACCAUGCCAGAGACGCCUGGACCCCAUGCUAGGCUCAGUGCCUGUUAUACUCUUGGGAGCCAGCACUUUCCCUCUCCAUCACAUGGCAUACUUGCCAUUAUUUGUUGUGUAAAAUAUUGUCCUUAGUUUUCACCUUUCCUAGGAGACACAGGCAGAGCCUGUGACACUACAGCUUCUGGCACACAGUAGGUAGGUGCAUCACAAACAUCUGCUGAGUUCACACACUCUUGCCUUCUCAAAACUUCUUGUCAAGUCUUCAGUGAAAAGGAAUUGCUGAUUGAGCAAGAAUUAAACUUCUAGAGACUCCUGGAUCCACUGAAGUUUGAGACAAGCUCUAGUCAGGAAGUGUUAGAGAGUUCUAAACAGGAAAUAUUCCAACACAUCAUCUAAGCAUGAAGCAGGAGACACCCAUAAUUGAGUUUGCUGCCACCAACCCCAACAGCAAGAAUUCCAGUCCUGCUGCUGCAAAUUCUCUUUUGGAGUCUUUCUUGCAGUUGCGGUUGGUUGGCUGCUGCUGAAGUCACCUGAAAGCUCAAUUAGGCUAAAGAGUCUAAACGGGUCACUUACAUGGCUGGCAGUGCAUAUUGGCUGCUGAGUGUGAUGCCUAUCUGACCUCUCCAUGUUACCUGGAGUGCUCACAACGUGGUAGUUUGUCCCAAGACACACAGGCAAAUACUACAAAGCUUCUUAGGGCCUAGCCUUGGAGGUCCUAGAAUACGACUUCUGCUGCAUCCUAUUGGAAAAGCAAGUCAUUGUGACCAGCACAGAUUCAAGAAAUGGGAGAUUCGACUCUACCUGUCAAUGUAAACAGCAGCAUGUGCAUGCAGGGAGGAAAGAAAUUGAGGGCAUCAUCUUGAAGACUAUCAUAUCACACCAUUAUUCCAACUAGUGAACAUUAUGUUUUAGAUGGGUAGUACUAGCUACUCAUCUGUCCCCCAGAAACCCAAGCUAAGCAUGGACAUAUUGAAGAGAAUGUCAACACCAUUAAAAAAACUCUAGAAAAAUCACAUGUGAUGACUGAGGUUAAUUCAGUCUGUCAACUACAUCAAUAUAAUUGCCUUCUUGUAACCCUAAGUAUGGUGAAGCAGAAUUGAAUUCUACAAAAGUCUUUCAUCUGUUUUCCUAUGGAAUAAUUAACAAACCCAAUAAAUGUAUAAAUAGCA